GGCAGGACAACACAUGGGCGAAUGAAUUAGCCGGCGCGAUUCGCCCUUAGAGUUUGAUCCUGGCUCAGGAUGAACGCUAGCGACAGGCUUAACACAUGCAAGUCGAGGGGCAGCGAGGGCGUAGCAAUACGCCUGUCGGCGACCGGCGCACUGGUGAGUAACACGUAUGCGACCUGCCCCCUACAGGGGUAUAACCCGUAGAAAUGCGGACUAAUCCCCCAUAGUCCCGCGGGCUGCAUGGCCUGCGGGGGAAAGGGUUUCCGGUAGGGGAUGGGCAUGCGGCGCAUCAGCUAGUUGGCGGGGCAACGGCCCACCAAGGCGACGAUGCGUAGGGGUUCUGAGAGGAAGGUCCCCCACACUGGUACUGAGACACGGACCAGACUCCUACGGGAGGCAGCAGUGAGGAAUAUUGGUCAAUGGGCGCAGGCCUGAACCAGCCAAGUCGCGUGAGGGAUGACGGUCCUACGGAUUGUAAACCUCUUUUGUCGGGGAGUAACGUGCGGGACGCGUCCCGUAUUGAGAGUACCCGAAGAAAAAGCAUCGGCUAACUCCGUGCCAGCAGCCGCGGUAAUACGGAGGAUGCGAGCGUUAUCCGGAUUUAUUGGGUUUAAAGGGUGCGCAGGCGGCGCGCCAAGUCAGCGGUCAAAGUUCCGGGCUCAACCCGGUGUCGCCGUUGAAACUGGCGUGCUCGAGUGCGUGCGAGGAAGGCGGAAUGCGUUGUGUAGCGGUGAAAUGCAUAGAUAUGACGCAGAACUCGCGAUUGCGAAGGCAGCUUUCCAGCGCGCUACUGACGCUGAGGCACGAAAGCGUGGGGAUCGAACAGGAUUAGGUACCCUGGUAGUCCACGCAGUAGACGAUGACUACUAGCUUUCCGGGGCGACUGGGCCCUGGGAGGCACAGCGAAAGCGUUAAGUAGUCCACCUGGGGAGUACGCCGGCAACGGUGAAACUCAAAGGAAUUGACGGGGGCCCGCACAAGCGGAGGAACAUGUGGUUUAAUUCGAUGAUACGCGAGGAACCUUACCCGGGCUCAAACGACAGCGGACAGCGCCUGAAAGGGCGUAUCCGGCAACGGCCGCUGUCGAGGUGCUGCAUGGUUGUCGUCAGCUCGUGCCGUGAGGUGUCGGCUUAAGUGCCAUAACGAGCGCAACCCCCAUCUCCAGUUGCCACCGGGUCGUGCCGGGCACUCUGGAGGGACUGCCAGCGCAAGCUGCGAGGAAGGCGGGGAUGACGUCAAAUCAGCACGGCCCUUACGUCCGGGGCGACACACGUGUUACAAUGGCGGAGAACAGAGGGGAGCCACGUGGCGACACGGAGCCGAUCCCAAAAAUCCGUCUCAGUUCGGAUUGGAGUCUGCAACCCGACUCCAUGAAGCUGGAUUCGCUAGUAAUCGCGCAUCAGCCAUGGCGCGGUGAAUACGUUCCCGGGACACUUGUACACAGCCGCCACGUCCAAGGGGCAGAACUUCUGAUUUAAACCAAUGUCAGGANNCUGAGUCCCCAUUUCAGUUAGANGGCUUAAUUUCUGAGUCUUAGCAGUACUGG
Molecule: ribosomal RNA, 1543 nt
Filed under: uncultured bacterium
Lineage: Bacteria
Description: bacterial SSU rRNA
Rfam family: Bacterial small subunit ribosomal RNA
Source: RNAcentral